RNAcentral lists this transfer RNA (63 nucleotides) under Petrobiellus sp. 1 JZ-2014. RNAcentral's name for it is "tRNA-Ala". The record is from RNAcentral. Lineage: Eukaryota; Metazoa; Arthropoda; Insecta; Archaeognatha; Machilidae.
AGAGUUAUAGUUAAACAUAAUAUUUGGUUUGCAUCCAAAAGGUACUUACUUUAGUAAGUUUAC